AGAGGAUGUCAACUGGUAGGGACUCUGUGUCAUCCUGUGCAGUCACAUUGCCUCUGCAUGAUUUGACAACCCCACACCGGGCCAUCAGCUUGCUGAAAAUGUACUUG
Fundulus heteroclitus (mummichog) is the source of this 107-nucleotide long non-coding RNA. RefSeq lists it as uncharacterized. The record is from RefSeq and is a predicted model, not a curated record. The transcript has 3 exons. Lineage: Eukaryota; Metazoa; Chordata; Actinopteri; Cyprinodontiformes; Fundulidae.